Molecule: unclassified non-coding RNA, 300 nt
Filed under: uncultured Verrucariaceae
Lineage: Eukaryota; Fungi; Ascomycota; Eurotiomycetes; Verrucariales
Description: sequence contains ITS1
Rfam family: 5.8S ribosomal RNA (bases 1-105)
Source: RNAcentral
GAAAUGCGAUAAGUAAUGCGAAUUGCAGAAUUCCGUGAGUCAUCGAAUCUUUGAACGCACAUUGCGCCCUCUGGUAUUCCGGAGGGCAUGCCUGUCCGAGCGUCAUUAGUCCAAUCUCAAGCCUGGCUUGUCGUUGGGUCUCACCGUCUCAGGCGGUGGGCCCGAAAUAUAAUGACGGGAUCCGACGCCCGUGGAUGCAGCGAGCUUCAUAGCACGCGUCCCGGCGCCGUCGCGGCCCGUCUUCAACCACAUUUUCUCUAGGUUGACCUCGGAUCAGACAGGAUUACCCGCUGAACUUAA